Molecule: ribosomal RNA, 766 nt
Filed under: uncultured bacterium
Lineage: Bacteria
Description: partial 16S ribosomal RNA
Rfam family: Bacterial small subunit ribosomal RNA
Source: RNAcentral
UAAACNAUGGNCNNUANGUGGGGGGGGGUCAUCAACUCCNUCCGUGCNGCAGNUAACGCAUUAAGUNCCCCCCCCUGGGGAGUACGNCCGCAANGCUNAAANUCAAANGNAUUGACGGGGNCCCNCACAAGCAGCGGAGCAUGUGGCUUAAUUCGAAGCAACGCGAAGAACCUUACCAGGGCUUGACAUGCAGGGUAAAGCGGCGGAAACGUCGUGUCCGAGAGGGCCCUGCACAGGUGGUGCAUGGCUGUCGUCAGCUCGUGUCGUGAGAUGUUGGGUUAAGUCCCGCAACGAGCGCAACCCCCGUCGUAUGUUGCCAGCAUUAAGUUGGGGACUCAUACGAGACUGCCGGCGUCAAGCCGGAGGAAGGUGGGGAUGACGUCAAGUCAUCAUGCCCCUUAUGUCCUGGGCUGCACACGUGCUACAAUGGUCGGUACAACGGGCAGCGAUACCGCGAGGUGGAGCGAAUCCCUUAAAGCCGGCCCCAGUUCGGAUCGGAGGCUGCAACUCGCCUCCGUGAAGUCGGAGUUGCUAGUAAUCGCGGAUCAGCAUGCCGCGGUGGAUACGUUCCCGGGCCUUGUACACACCGCCCGUCACACCACCCGAGUCGUCCGCACCCGAAGUCGCUGGCCCAACCCGCAAGGGAGGGAGGCGCCGAAGGUGUAGAGGGUAAGGGGGGUGAAGUCGUAACAANGUAACCAAGCCGNANUCUGCAGAUAUCCNUNCCACUGGCGGNGANUCGAGCAUGCNUNUAGAGGCCCAUUCG